Molecule: ribosomal RNA, 480 nt
Filed under: uncultured bacterium
Lineage: Bacteria
Description: partial 16S ribosomal RNA
Rfam family: Bacterial small subunit ribosomal RNA
Source: RNAcentral
GACGAACGCUGGCGGCGUGCUUAACACAUGCAAGUCGAACGGAAAGGCCCGCUUGCGGGUACUCGAGUGGCGAACGGGUGAGUAACACGUGGGCAACCUGCCCUCAGCUUCGGGAUAACACUUGGAAACAGGGGCUAAUACCGGAUAAUAACCUUUCAUCGCCAGGUGGUUGGUUCAAAGUUUUUCGGCUGAGGAUGGGCCCGCGGCCUAUCAGCUUGUUGGUGGGGUAAUGGCCUACCAAGGCGACGACGGGUAGCCGGCCUGAGAGGGCGACCGGCCACACUGGGACUGAGACACGGCCCAGACUCCUACGGGAGGCAGCAGUGGGGAAUAUUGCGCAAUGGGCGGAAGCCUGACGCAGCGACGCCGCGUGAGGGAUGACGGCCUUCGGGUUGUAAACCUCUUUCAGCUCUGACGAAGCGCAAGUGACGGUAGGAGCAGAAGAAGCACCGGCCAACUACGUGCCAGCCGCCGCCGUAA